GAUGAACGCUGGCGGCAUGCCUAAUACAUGCAAGUCGAGCGAACGGACGAGAAGCUUGCUUCUCUGAUGUUAGCGGCGGACGGGUGAGUAACACGUGGAUAACCUACCUAUAAGACUGGGAUAACUUCGGGAAACCGGAGCUAAUACCGGAUAAUAUUUUGAACCGCAUGGUUCAAUAGUGAAAGACGGUCUUGCUGUCACUUAUAGAUGGAUCCGCGCUGCAUUAGCUAGUUGGUAAGGUAACGGCUUACCAAGGCAACGAUGCAUAGCCGACCUGAGAGGGUGAUCGGCCACACUGGAACUGAGACACGGUCCAGACUCCUACGGGAGGCAGCAGUAGGGAAUCUUCCGCAAUGGGCGAAAGCCUGACGGAGCAACGCCGCGUGAGUGAUGAAGGUCUUCGGAUCGUAAAACUCUGUUAUUAGGGAAGAACAUAUGAGUAAGUAACUGUGCACAUCUUGACGGUACCUAAUCAGAAAGCCACGGCUAACUACGUG
This 497-nucleotide ribosomal RNA is filed under the name uncultured bacterium. Its description in RNAcentral is "partial 16S ribosomal RNA". It matches the Rfam family "Bacterial small subunit ribosomal RNA", at positions 28 to 507 of the family's 1533-position model. The record is from RNAcentral.